Molecule: non-coding RNA, 46 nt
Filed under: Schistosoma margrebowiei
Lineage: Eukaryota; Metazoa; Platyhelminthes; Trematoda; Strigeidida; Schistosomatidae
Source: RNAcentral
AUCCAGUAUACGAGUUCAAGACAGGACGAAGACGCGCGUCCUGGAU